GGGUGUUGAGCAGUCAGGUUGUUGUCUCUGUUGGCGUCAAUGUCUGUCAGGCCCUGAGCUCCAUUUGGUAGGUGUUAGAGUGGGCACUCAGAGAUGACAUGGCUGGCUUUCUGUUGUGCUGCU
This is a long non-coding RNA of Amblyraja radiata (thorny skate), 123 nucleotides long. RefSeq lists it as uncharacterized. The transcript has 3 exons. Lineage: Eukaryota; Metazoa; Chordata; Chondrichthyes; Rajiformes; Rajidae. The record is from RefSeq and is a predicted model, not a curated record.